UGCAGAAUAAGCNCCGGCUAACUCUGUGCCAGCAGCCGCGGUAAUACAGAGGGUGCAAGCGUUAAUCGGAAUUACUGGGCGUAAAGCGAGCGUAGGUGGCUUGAUAAGUCAGAUGUGAAAUCCCCGGGCUUAACCUGGGAACUGCAUCUGAUACUGUUAAGCUAGAGUAGGUGAGAGGGAAGUAGAAUUCCAGGUGUAGCGGUGAAAUGCGUAGAGAUCUGGAGGAAUACCGAUGGCGAAGGCAGCUUCCUGGCAUCAUACUGACACUGAGGCUCGAAAGCGUGGGUAGCAAACAGGAUUAGAUACCCUGGUAGUCCACGCCGUAAACGAUGUCUACUAGUCGUUGGGUCCCUUGAGGACUUAGUGACGCAGCUAACGCAAUAAGUAGACCGCCUGGGGAGUACGGCCGCAAGGUUAAAACUCAAAUGAAUUGACGNGGGCCCGCACAAGCGGUGGAGCAUGUGGUUUAAUUCGAUGCAACGCGAAGAACCUUACCUGGUCUUGACAUAUCUAGAAUCCUGCAGAGAUGCGGGAGUGCCUUCGGGAAUUAGAAUACAGGUGCUGCAUGGCUGUCGUCAGCUCGUGUCGUGAGAUGUUGGGUUAAGUCCCGCAACGAGCGCAACCCUUGUCCUUAGUUACCAGCGGGUUAAGCCGGGAACUCUAAGGAUACUGCCAGUGACAAACUGGAGGAAGGCGGGGACGACGUCAAGUCNUCAUGGCCCUUACGACCAGGGCUACACACGUGCUACAAUGGUAGGUACAGAGGGCAGCUACACAGCGAUGUGAUNCGAAUCUCAAAAAGCCUAUCGUAGUCCAGAUUGGAGUCUGCAACUCGACUCCAUGAAGUAGGAAUCGCUAGUAAUCGCGGAUCAGAAUGCCGCGGUGAAUACGUUCCCGGGCCUUGUACACACCGCCCGUCACACCAUGGGAGUUGAUUGCACCAGAAGUGGUUA
This 953-nucleotide ribosomal RNA is filed under the name Psychrobacter sp. Its description in RNAcentral is "bacterial SSU rRNA". It matches the Rfam family "Bacterial small subunit ribosomal RNA", at positions 480 to 1432 of the family's 1533-position model. Lineage: Bacteria; Pseudomonadati; Pseudomonadota; Gammaproteobacteria; Moraxellales; Moraxellaceae. The record is from RNAcentral.